RNAcentral lists this small nuclear RNA (327 nucleotides) under Erinaceus europaeus (western European hedgehog). Its description in RNAcentral is "7SK RNA (ENSEEUG00000021091.1)". It matches the Rfam family "7SK RNA". Rfam says of the family: 7SK was discovered as an abundant small nuclear RNA in the mid-70s but a possible function has only recently been suggested. Lineage: Eukaryota; Metazoa; Chordata; Mammalia; Eulipotyphla; Erinaceidae. The record is from RNAcentral.
GGAUGUGAGGGAGAUCUGGUUGCUACAUCUGUCACCCCAUUGAUCACCAGGGUUGAUUAGGCUGAUCUGGCUGACUAGGCAGGUGUCCCCCUUUCUCCCCUCACUGCUCCAUGUGAGUCCCUCCCGAAGCUGUGUGCUCUGUUGAAAAGGACAGCCUUCACCAAAUAGAGACGACGGGUCUUUGGUCAGAAGAAGCAUGUAGCUUUUCCUCUAGUCUUCUAUCUCUGUUGCUUUCUUUCUGUCUGGAGAGAAAGAGAGAGAGAAGAAGAGAAAGAGAGGUGCUGAGCAUUGAGGCCCAUGUGAUAACAAAAUCAUAAACUUGCCUUU